CACGUACAGAGAAUCAGUCGGCCUUUCGUGGUCUUUCGAACCAUAUCGUGGUAUACAUAGUGAUUGUAAUAAAGUGUGUGUGAAUAUACAUCCCUUUAACAUUGCGCAUAUUGCUUAAACAUUAGUUUGCUGCAAUUAAUUUAAAGAAAAAAUAUAAUUUCUUUAACGUAAUUUCCAAUUAACAUUCUGCUUCAAAAUAUUGGAGUGUUUACGGAUCUAAAAUAGAUGUCCCUUUUCUCCAACAUGAUGAUAUUUCUAAAACUAUUAUUAAGUAGCGGAUUAAUUUUUAUUGCUGCGACAGCUUCCACUCGCAAUGAAUAUGUAUGCUAUCAAAAAUCAAAAAUGUAAUACCAAUGCAUUACGAUAUCAAGCUUAUAACACAUAUUGAAAGAAAUAUUUUCCGUGGGGAAUACAAUAUCAGCAUAAACAUUCUUAAUAAAACUCAACACAUAUAUUUACAUUCGGAAAUAUGUGUUAAGAGUGUGGUUCUAAUUACAAAUUUUGAAAGAUAUCAUGAGAAUCAUAAAGAUAUCGUUUAUGAACCGACAUAUAAUACUGAAGAAAACACAAUUUAUAUGUUCUUUAUAGAUGAGUUAUCACCAGGAAAUUACAUCUUAAAUAUAAAAUAUUUUGGUGUUGCUGAUAAAGUCUUUAGAAUUUUUGACGUGAAAAA
Non-coding RNA from Nylanderia fulva, 673 nucleotides. The record is from RefSeq and is a predicted model, not a curated record. Lineage: Eukaryota; Metazoa; Arthropoda; Insecta; Hymenoptera; Formicidae.